Long non-coding RNA from Aedes albopictus (Asian tiger mosquito), 2254 nucleotides. RefSeq lists it as uncharacterized. The record is from RefSeq and is a predicted model, not a curated record. Lineage: Eukaryota; Metazoa; Arthropoda; Insecta; Diptera; Culicidae. The transcript is spliced from 3 exons.
AGUUCUCAAAUCGCAAAUUGGUUAAAAAAUAUUUAUUUCACUUCUUACAGGCGACCCUCAGCAUUUCACAAGAACAUGUUGGCGAUUUCUCUGGUGGAAUCCUAUCCAGUGCUACGCUCAAGCACACGAGAUGUGCCACAAGCGUUGUGGUUCUACCCACAUGCUCGAGGAAAGCAUCGCCACAGUGGACGGUUGCAGUAUCAUUUGGAGUACCUUGUUCGCAAGUCAUCCGAUAGGAAGAUUCUCAGGACUAAGAAAGCUGAUUUGGCACCCGAAGAGCCUUCUCCCCACGAUGAAAGUCUGCAGCACAAUGAAAACAUCGAGGAAAUGGUAAAAACAUACCUGAUAAGCGUUAAGAGUUAAGAUAAACAUCGUUUGUUUUUAGAUCGCCGAACUCAAGUUUCUAUGUCCUGGCCCCAACACCCGUAUACGAGCAGAAGAAUUGUGGCAGCAAACCUUUGAAGAUCGUGCACGGUUCCGAAAGAAUGGGAGUUUUCACGUAUUCAUGAACGAGAAUCCGGUGGCGUCGGCGUUUGAUGGUCAUUUGGUAAGAGUUGUUUUAAUCAGGUGCCAUUCAUAUAAAACUGUUACUAUGGACUAAUCUACCGAUGAACCGAAUUAACUCGGUUCGAGAAUAUCAACAUUAGAGCGGGGCCGACCAAUUCUGAUUGGAAACUGUCCCACUUUAGUGCCAAAAUUCUCGGCCCAAGCGAAUUCGGUUCAUCGGUGGAUCAGUCCAUUUGGGAUAUGCACACUAUUAUCUAAGGUCCAAAUUAUGCUACUUUCGGCAGUUUUGUUCUCUUUAUCAUGGGGUGUUUCGUCGGAUGUGUUGAACUCCUAGUUGGCCUCAGUGCUUUCCCAACCAAACUGAAUUAUACGACAAAGUUUCAAGCAAUUUUGCCAACAAAAACACCUCAUGAUGAAAAGAACAAAUCUGCUCAAAAUACCCAAAGUCACCCUAUUAAUGCUAUGAGAGAUGAAUUGAUAAAGUAUUACAGGUCGGACUCGAUUAUCCGGAGUCAGAUUCUGAAGCUUUCCAAAAGUAUAUCUGAGGAGCGGAACGCUCUACAAAGCUGAAAUUUUGACAGAUUGCUAAUCAAGGUUGGCUUGAUAAAAUGUCCAAAAUUCAGCUUUAUAUAGCAUUCCGUUCUGGGGGAGCUUCAGAACCCAACUCCGGAUAAUAGAGUCCGGCCUGUAUCAUGUGAUGUUUAUGAAGUUUAUCAAUUUGUUGUCUCUAUUUUCAGCUUUCGCUUGAUUUCCAAAAACUACAUCCUCAAGCACGAUGUCUUGAUGCUGACUUCCAAGAAUGGACCAGAAAGGUUUUGUUGGCCUACCCAGACGAAUUGCGGCAUAUUGUAAAUCAAACUGUAAGAACCCUGGGAAUCAUUCGGAUGAAGAAUCCAAGCCGAGGAAAAAAACGCACAAGGACUGAUGCAAACAGCUCAAACGAUAAUCCCCUAGCAGGAAUUGUCGAAUGAUUGAAUGUGGAUGACCCGCUUCCGGCAGACAGUCAAGACUAUCCUGUACUCUAUUUGCGAGGACAGUUUCCAGAAGAUCGUGCCGAAGGAGUUAUUUCGUGGAGGGGUAUCACAAUUAACAUCAACAAGGACUUGCUGCACUGCUUCGAGGUGCUUUGUCAAUCGUGGCUGGUAUUCAACAUUGAUUGCCGACCUAGUGACAAGCAGUUUUUCAUGUUCAUCAAAGCCAUUUUGAUGAACGUGGGAAACAUUAGCACAACAGGCGAGAAAUUUUUGCGGAGACUGGAAUGAUUUCUUGUAGACGAUUUGCCUCAGGCUCGCUUAAGGGAUACUCCAAUUGCUGGGACCAAGGCAGGAACCAGGUUUUAUCAAUAUCACCACUAAUGUUUUAUUUCAUUGAAUUCAAUCUACAUUCCAGCUAUAAGAUUUCACAAAUAAAUCAUCAACUUCUUCCAAAUUCCAAAUAAAGUCAAAUGUGAUUUUUAUUAUCUCGUCAUAUUUUGAAAGAAAAUUGCAUUUUAUUGGUCGGGUCUAUUAAUAAGAAAUCAAAACUGAUCAGUCGGUAAAAAAGCCGAGUGGAAAUAUUUAAACAAAUACUGAGUAGCACAGUUAUUUUCAUCUCGUAAACAAACCAAAAUUUUACCGACUGAUCAGUUAUUUUUGACAAUUUGCUUUUACUGGAAAGUCGGUAACACUAAAAGAUACAUUGAGCUUUACUGGGUAUUCAGCAGUUCAAAAACCCAGUAAAAUUUUACCGACUUCGGUAAAUUAAAGUA